CAGUCUUCUGGGAAAUCUAAUCGCUUAACUAUUAGGCUUCCAGGGGAUACUGUUAGACUUGGGACCGGGAGAGGUAAGAGGUACUGCAGGGGUAGGAGUGAAAUCUUGUAACCCCUGUGAGACCACCAGUGGCGAAGGCGUCUUACCAGAACGGGUCCGACGGUGAGGGACGAAAGCUGGGGGCACGAACCGGAUUAGAUACCCGGGUAGUCCCAGCUGUAAACGAUGCUCGUUAGGUGUCAGGAACGGUGCGACUGUUUCUGGUGCCGAAGGGAAGCCGUGAAACGAGCCACCUGGGAAGUACGGCCGCAAGGCUGAAACUUAAAGGAAUUGGCGGGGGAGCACUACAACGGGUGGAGCCUGCGGUUUAAUUGGACUCAACGCCGGAAAACUCACCGGGGGCGACAGCAAUAUGUAGGUCAGGUUAAAGGUCUUACCUGAAUCGCUGAGAGGAGGUGCAUGGCCGUCGUCAGUUCGUACUGUGAAGCAUCCUGUUAAGUCAGGCAACGAGCAAGACCCGUGCCCACUGUUACCAGCAUAUCCUUUAUGGAUGAUGGGGACUCUGUGGGGACUGCUGCUGCUAAAGCAGAGGAAGGUGCGGGCUACGGUAGGUCAGUAUGCCCCGAAUCUCCCGGGCUACACGCGGGCUACAAUGGUUGGGACAAUGGGUAUCUACUCCGAAAGGAGUUGGCAAUCUCUUAAACCCAAUCGUAGUUCGAAUUGAGGGCUGUAACUCGCCCUCAUGAAGCUGGAAUCCGUAGUAAUCGCGUUUCAACAUAGCGCGG
RNAcentral lists this ribosomal RNA (785 nucleotides) under uncultured archaeon. Its description in RNAcentral is "bacterial SSU rRNA". It matches the Rfam family "Archaeal small subunit ribosomal RNA", at positions 535 to 1318 of the family's 1478-position model. The record is from RNAcentral.